UAGGGAAUCUUCCGCAAUGGACGCAAGUCUGACGGAGCAACGCCGCGUGAGUGAAGGAGGUUUUCGGAUCGUAAAACUCUGUUGUUAGAGAAGAACAAGUGCUAGAGUAACUGUUAGCGCCUUGACGGUAUCUAACCAGAAAGCCACGGCUAACUACGUGCCAGCAGCCGCGGUAAUACGUAGGUGGCAAGCGUUGUCCGGAUUUAUUGGGCGUAAAGCGAGCGCAGGCGGUUCCUUAAGUCUGAUGUGAAAGCCCCCGGCUCAACCGGGGAGGGUCAUUGGAAACUGGGGAACUUGAGUGCAGAAGAGGAGAGUGGAAUUCCAUGUGUAGCGGUGAAAUGCGUAGAUAUAUGGAGGAACACCAGUGGCGAAGGCGACUCUCUGGUCUGUAACUGACGCUGAGGCUCGAAAGCGUGGGUAGCAAACAGGAUUAGAUACCCUGGUAGUCCACGCCGUAAACGAUGAGUGCUAAGUGUUGGAGGGUUUCCGCCCUUCAGUGCUGCAGUUAACGCAUUAAGCACUCCGCCUGGGGAGUACGACCGCAAGGUUG
This 550-nucleotide ribosomal RNA is filed under the name uncultured bacterium. Its description in RNAcentral is "bacterial SSU rRNA". It matches the Rfam family "Bacterial small subunit ribosomal RNA", at positions 355 to 896 of the family's 1533-position model. The record is from RNAcentral.